GAGUUUGAUCAUGGCUCACAUUGAACGCUGGCGGCAGGCUUAACACAUGCAAGUCGAGCGGGGAAUGGUAGCUUGCUACCUGACCUAGCGGCGGACGGGUGAGUAAUGCUUAGGAAUCUGCCUAUUAGUGGGGGACAACAUUCCGAAAGGAAUGCUAAUACCGCAUACGCCUUACGGGGGAAAGCAGGGGAUCUUCGGACCUUGCGCUAAUAGAUGAGCGUAAGUCAGAUUAGCUAGUUGGUGGGGUAAAGGCCUACCAAGGCGACGAUCUGUAGCGGGUCUGAGAGGAUGAUCCGCCACACUGGGACUGAGACACGGCCCAGACUCCUACGGGAGGCAGCAGUGGGGAAUAUUGGACAAUGGGCGCAAGCCUGAUCCAGCCAUGCCGCGUGUGUGAAGAAGGCCUUUUGGUUGUAAAGCACUUUAAGCGAGGAGGAGGCUACUGAGAUUAAUACUCUUGGAUAGUGGACGUUACUCGCAGAAUAAGCACCGGCUAACUCUGUGCCAGCAGCCGCGGUAAUACAAGGG
RNAcentral lists this ribosomal RNA (528 nucleotides) under uncultured bacterium. Its description in RNAcentral is "bacterial SSU rRNA". It matches the Rfam family "Bacterial small subunit ribosomal RNA", at positions 9 to 531 of the family's 1533-position model. The record is from RNAcentral.